GCUCAAAGCGGUGGCAGAGUAUCCUACUCCAAAAACUGUGCAUCAAGUGCGACAAUUCGUAGGAUUGAUAAGUUACUUUCGCAAGUUUAUUCAUAACUGUGCAUUAUUAUGCAAACCGUUAACCAGUUUGUUGAAAAAGGGGAGUACAUGGAAAUGGAAUGACGAACAUGAACAAGCGGUAACUAAGCUAAAACGAGCACUAAUUGAUAACGCUGUACUCAAUAUUUUCGACCCCAAGCUGCCGAUAAAUCUUUACACAGACGCCAGUAGGGACGGGAUAGCAUGUAUUAUGACUCAGUUAACCGACAAAGGCGAGAGACCUAUACAUUUCUAUAGCCGUCAAACUACCAAUGAAGAAAAAAAAUAUCAUUCAUUCGAGUUAGAACUUCUAGCUAUAAUAACAGGGUUACAAAAGUUUAGGCAUUAUUUAAUAGGGACGUCCUUUAAAAUCACGACGGAUUGCAAUGCUGUCAGGCAUGCUUUAAGUAAGCAGGAGAUUGUGCCUCGAAUCAGUCGAUGGGUGUUAUAUGCGCAAGAGUUCACAUAUGAGAUAGUUCACAGAGCGGGUAGUCAAAUGCAGCAUGUGGACGCCCUCAGUAGAAAUCCGGUUUGUGACAACGUCAAGGUUGAAACUGUUUUAUCGUUAACGGAAGGUGAUUGGUUGCUAUCGGUUCAGCUGCAAGACCCCAGUAUAUGUAGCAUUCGUGAAAUUUUGUUGUCAGGCGAGGCCGACGCUAACAAACGUAUAUUUCAGGAUUACGAAUUAUUAGGAAAUAAAGUAUAUCGACGGACGGAGUAUGGUAGACGUUGGCUUGUACCUAAGCGCUGUAUUUGGAAUGUGAUACAUGCUAAUCAUGAUAACGUGGGCCAUUUUGCUGUCGACAAGACAAUAGAAAGAAUUCGCGCAAAAUAUUGGUUUCCACACUUAAAGAGAACUGUAUCAAAAUAUAUUAAAAACUGCUUGAAUUGCAUAUAUUACAAAAACAUUCACGGCAAAAAGCCAGGAAAAUUGUAUCCCAUUCCCAAAUACGCGAGACCAUUUCAUACAUUACAUGUAGAUCAUCUCGGACCCUUCAUAAAAACGACACAAAAAAAUUGCUAUCUGUUAGUUCUCGUAGACGCGUUUACCAAAUUUGUGUUUAUAGCUGCGGUGAAAAAUACUAAAAGUCAGUUAGUAAUCAAUGAACUACUAAAGUUAUUUAAACAAUUUGGAAAUCCUAAACGCCUAAUUUGUGAUGCCGGGAGUGCAUUUACAUCGAAACUCUUUACACAAUUUUGUAACGAUAGGAAUAUUAGGCGACACGUUAUCGCGACCGCUGUACCUAGAUCGAACGGACAGGUGGAGCGAUUUAAUUUGACAAUUCUAGAAGCUUUACGUAGUCUAGGAGCAGAUACGGAAAAUAACAAAUGGGAUCAACAUGUGACUAGGAUUCAGCAAGGUAUCAACAGCACUAUAAAUAAAACCACAGCCGCAGUACCGAGUGAGGUCUUCUUUGGGUAUAGAAUUCGUAUGGACAAUGACGCAAUCACUGACGAUGACAACACUGAGCACCCGGUUGACGUUACCUCCUUGAGGCAUAUGGUCGAUGCCAAUAUCAAAAAGGACGCCGAGAGACAAAAGGCUUCGUUUGACGCUAGACGGAAAGAGGCACCGCAGUAUAAGAUUGACGACUUGGUGGUCCUUAAAAUUCCAAGUCAUUCGAAUGACGGCAACAGCACGAAGCUAUUGCCGCUAUACAAAGGGCCGUUCCAAGUUACAGCUGUAUUAGGUCAUGACCGCUAUAAGGUGACAGACCUAAGAGGCGCCGAAAGGACCUCCAAACGCUACGAUGGCAUCGCUUGCGUCGAAAAUAUGAAGCCCUGGAUACGCCUAGCAGAUUAAAUUGGUAAUACCGGAUGUAGUCGAUAGAAAAACAUAAAGCUCCACCAUCAGCCCAUAACGGGAGUCGAGACGAUCCCGAGGGCAGGACAGCCGGAUGUAGUCGCCAGGGUUUCUUCAAGCAGCAACACAGCCAGUUCGAGCGCUGGCAACACGAACGGCGUCAAUACCUGUUCCGGUGACGUCACAUCGUCGUUAAUAAAAACCCUGACGCAGCCAACGGAGCUCUCUCUUGCCAACCAGCCGUCGAGUUGUAAAGAAGUAUCACAUUAA
Molecule: long non-coding RNA, 2152 nt
Organism: Cydia splendana
Lineage: Eukaryota; Metazoa; Arthropoda; Insecta; Lepidoptera; Tortricidae
Exons: 2
Source: RefSeq, a predicted model, not a curated record